RNAcentral lists this transfer RNA (72 nucleotides) under Phrynosoma platyrhinos (Desert horned lizard). Its description in RNAcentral is "tRNA-OTHER". The record is from RNAcentral. Lineage: Eukaryota; Metazoa; Chordata; Lepidosauria; Squamata; Phrynosomatidae.
GCCAGCAUGGUGUAGUGGUUUGAGCAUUGGACUACAGCUCUGGAGAUCAGGGUUCAAAACCCAGCUCAGCCA